Molecule: ribosomal RNA, 253 nt
Filed under: uncultured bacterium
Lineage: Bacteria
Description: partial 16S ribosomal RNA
Rfam family: Bacterial small subunit ribosomal RNA
Source: RNAcentral
UACAGAGGGUGCGAGCGUUAAUCGGAAUUACUGGGCGUAAAGCGCACGUAGGUGGCGACGUAAGUCGGGUGUGAAAGCCCCGGGCUCAACCUGGGAAUUGCAUUCGAGACUGCAUUGCUGGAGUACGGAAGAGGAGGGCGGAAUUCCCGGUGUAGCGGUGAAAUGCGUAGAUAUCAAGAGGAACACCGGUGGCGAAGGCGGCUCUCUGGUCCAAUCCUGACGCUGAGGUGCGAAAGCUAGGGGAGCAAACGGG